AAGAUUUUGGGUAAUUAUCUGUUUCUGCACUCUAUACCGCGAUUUUCAAGACUUGGCUGGACCGAGAGGAGUUUGCGCGUUGUGGAUGCUAGCAGCUAGCUGGAGCGUGUUAGCCUCUUCAGUCGAAGUUGGGUUUACAACAAGGAGGGCUGAGCUGAACGUGUCCACUGAGGAAGACGCCAAUCAGCAAUAAGGAGUACAUGAAGUCCGACUCAGACAACAUCAGUCACAGAAGUAGAGGAGGAACACAGCUCACUUUGCAUUCACUCCUCCUCACAUGGACUCAUUAUUUUCUUGCAUCUCUUUUAAAAGUGUUGUGGUUGUGAAGAAGUAAUUUCUCCUUGUAUUGUUCUUGGUUCUUGUUUUUUUA
This is a long non-coding RNA of Cheilinus undulatus (humphead wrasse), 370 nucleotides long. RefSeq lists it as uncharacterized. The transcript has 4 exons. The record is from RefSeq and is a predicted model, not a curated record. Lineage: Eukaryota; Metazoa; Chordata; Actinopteri; Labriformes; Labridae.